Molecule: transfer RNA, 77 nt
Filed under: bacterium
Lineage: Bacteria
Description: tRNA-Met
Rfam family: tRNA
About the family: Transfer RNA (tRNA) molecules are approximately 80 nucleotides in length. Their secondary structure includes four short double-helical elements and three loops (D, anti-codon, and T loops).
Source: RNAcentral
GUCGGGGUAGCUCAGAUGGUUAGAGCGAGCGUUUCAUAAGCGCUAGGUCGACGGUUCGAUCCCGUCCCCCGACACCA